This 2027-nucleotide long non-coding RNA is filed under the name Fragaria vesca (wild strawberry). Its description in RNAcentral is "long non-coding RNA (FVES_LNC004179)". The record is from RNAcentral. Lineage: Eukaryota; Viridiplantae; Streptophyta; Magnoliopsida; Rosales; Rosaceae.
UUUUUUUUUUAGAAAAAUAUUCCAUCUCCUAAGUAAACAUUUCUGUCUCCUAAGUUCUACUUAGGCUACAAAAUGUAGUUCCGUCUCCUAAGUGAUUCAUAUAAAUUUUUUUAAUUUUAUUUUUUCAAAAUGCCGUUGUCUAAGUAAAAUUUCGUCUCCUAAGAACAACUUAGGAGACGAAAACUGUUUCGUCGCCUAAAUAGAAAAUUUCGUCGCUUAAGUACCACUUAGGAGACAGAAUUUUUUAAUUUCGUCGCCUAAGUGCUAUUUUCCUAUAGUGAGGUUCAUAUUGGGGUCAGUAGGACCUCAUAUUGGGGGCAGUAUGACCUUGUGCUUCAAUCACUUAUAACAUGUCCCUAUUGGAGUCAGUAGGACCACCUAUUAGGGUCAGUAGGAUCUCCUAUUGGGGUCAGUAGGACAUCCUAUUAGGGUUAGUAUGACCCUGUGCUUUUGUCACUUAUAACAUGUCCCUAUUGGGGUCAGUAUGACCACCUAUUGGGGUCAGUAGGACCUCUUAUUGGGGACAGUAUGACCCUUGAAUUUAACUGUGUGCUUCAGUCACUUAUAGCAGGUCCCUAUUGGGGGCAGUAUGACCAUCUAUUGGGAUCAGUAUGACCUCCUACUGGGGGCAGUAGGACCCUUGAUAAAUGACACUAAUUUCACCAAUUUAAUGCUAAUUACAGUCUAAUUACAAUAUUGUUUCAGCCUCAUUAUUCUCAUUCAUUCUAACCAUACCGACUAAACAACAGUGAAGUUAUAACGAGGAAUGCAUGAUUCUAAAAGAAUAAUGAACCAUUCAUUAGAUAUGUGUUGCAAUGCAUUAGCAAGAAGUCUCCUCUCAGUAUCACACAUACUCAUCCUUCCCCAUUUGGCCACCUGCUGAGGACAACAACUAAAAUAAAUAAAUAAAUAAAUAUAUAUAUAUACAAUGUUGAUUAGGUGCGGACGUCCGCACCAAUGUUUUUGGUGCGGAUUUCUAUUUUUUAGACCACUUCUCGAUCGAAUUUCCUUAAACUUCCUUCUAGACAUAUCUAGAUCAUCUUGUGUAGAUUAUCUUUGCAAAAUUUCAGCCAAUUUAGUAAUCAUUAAGGCCCUCAAACUUGAAUUUUUCUGUUAUAUACCUGAACCGGACAGAAUUCAGUCUGUCAGAUUUGUUUUUCGAUUUUGAGGGCCUUAACGAUCACCAAAUUGGCUGAAAUUUUGCAGAGAUGAUCUACACAAGAUGAUCUAGAUAUGUUUAGAAGAAAGUUUGAGGAAAUUCGAUCGGGAAGGGGUGCAAAAAUGGAAAUCCGCACCAAAAACUUUGGUGCGGACGUCCGCACCUGAUUAGCACUAUAUAUAUAUAUAUAUAUAUAUAUAUUACAACUUUACAAGAUAUAGUGUCUGAACAACAAUGAAUCUACAAAGUCAAGCAUGAAAUAGUUUAACCAAAAAGCCACAAGAAUAGAAUGAUCCCGAGAUAAUCUAUAAUUUUGAGUGAAGAGUACUUUACAUUAGCUGUUAAACACAUACUAUUGUAUUAGAUGCAUUUAGGUAUGUAGCUGUGUUUUUCUUCUUAUAGACAUCUCUUGUAAAAAUUAUAAAUGAGGCCAAUACUCUAAAGAACAAAACUAAGUAGAAACACAGAGAAGCAUCAAAGUUUUCUAUUACAUACAUUUGUAAGUCAAAUCCAGCGGCCCGUAUUCUGUCACACCCCGGUUCUUAAGUUAUUUUACGGUUAUUUACUUUGGUAUUAUUUUGGUCUUUUACCGUGUUAAGUAACCGUUUAUAACUUAAGGACCCUAGAGUUGACUUUUUCCUGCGUUUGGAAUUUGGGAAAACUUUCUUCAUAAAAGUUGUAGAGGACGUUAUUACGAGUUCGUAGACAUGCUAUGUGUUAAAAUCGGAAUUAGCAUGAAAAAGUUAUGAUUUAAAAGAGUAAUUUUUGGAGAUGGUAAAAAUGUGGUAAAAAAAUGUAGUGGGUGUAAAUUUUUUUCAGUUGGGUUAUUGCUGGGCUGGGCCAGCUGAGGAGCAGCCCAACGGCCCCC